This is a long non-coding RNA of Erpetoichthys calabaricus (reedfish), 833 nucleotides long. RefSeq lists it as uncharacterized. The transcript has 2 exons. The record is from RefSeq and is a predicted model, not a curated record. Lineage: Eukaryota; Metazoa; Chordata; Cladistia; Polypteriformes; Polypteridae.
AAAUGAAACGAGAGAGAAGGACAUUAAUAAAGUGUAGUAAAUAUAUAUAAAAUAAAAACCCUGCCUCUUGUAAUUAUACGCUUACGUUUGCUUGCUCCCCUCCCACCAUCCCAAAAAAAAAAAUCCUCCGAGCAAAACGUCGCGAGAAGGUGGAGUUUGCUGCGUGAAGGGGGGUGUGGCUACGUCAUCCAUCGAUACCCGGAUGGAGAUCCUCUUCAGCCUCUAACUUUGAUGCGUUUUCUGUGGUGGCGACCUGCGCCACCACCACAUGAUCAAGACACCAUGCAGUCCCGAAAUUGAUGGAUUGAAGGCCAGAUGUCCACAUGACCAUCAUCAUCUAAUUCUUCCACGUGAAGCCUGAAAACCAUGAGGACUAAUUGAGAUCAUUUAUGUUAGGUAGAAUUCCCAAUGGGGGCUAGGUGGUCUCAUGGCCUUGGAAUCCCUAGCAGAUUUUGUUUUUUUUUCUCUAGCCCUCUGGAAUUUUAUUUUGCUUUUUUCUGUCCUCCUGGCCAUCAGACCUUACUUUAUUAUUAGUUACUUAAUAUUGCCUAAUCUUGUUUCUAUAUUUUUUUUAUGAACUUUUCUUUCUUCAUUUUGUAAAGCACUUUGAGCUACAGCAUAACAUGCUAUGUAAGUAAAUGUUGUUGUUGUUGUUGUUGUUGUUCUAUCACACAUGACUCAUGUGUAAAGAUUUAUCUUAAAUAUAUAUUAACAGGCAAAUUCAGCUGUUGCAAAGAACUGAUUUGUAAUUUCAGUCGAGAGAAUUAUUAAAUUGUUAGAAAAUGUGGGUAAGGCUGAUUAAUAAAUGUUAAAUGGUUCUGUAUAAAUGAGAA